CCCGGUGACCAACUACAAGAAACAUAUUACCGCUGUACUAGGCAAUAAGGGUUUCUCCACCAAGUACUAAGUUGUGUUUGAGAUCAAAUACUUAUUACACUCAGUGACAUAUAAAUCAAUUCAUUUAUUUUAGCAAAUUCAUUUUUUAUUCAAUUUUGGUUGAUAUUCUGUCUCAUUACAUCAAAAUGAAAAUACUUAAAAAAAAUUAGAGACUGAUCCUUUUAUAUAAGUGAACAAACUUACAAAUUCAGCAGGGGAUCAAAUGAUUAUUUCCCCCCAGAUAGUAGCUUCUUUUUAUGACCAUCUUUUUUCUUUUUUCUCUUUUUGAAAAGCUGCUGACCAACAAAGUUUUAUUCAUAGAUGUUUUUUGCAUUAGAUAAAUUUGCAAACUGAACUCCACGCUUCCAGAAUCUCUCAGUUUGUUUGGCAGAGCUUACUUUUCAUUUUAAUUACUUGUUGUUUCUUUAUUGACUUAUAUAGAAACCCACAGAAGUUUGUUUAACUUAUGUAACAAAAGAAUAAAGCAACUAAAUUUAAGUAAAAGGAUCAUUUUAGUAUUUUUGAUCUAUUCUUUACAGAAUUUUUCCAAAACAUUUUCAAACAUUCAGAUUUGUCUUUUAUUUUCUUGUCGAAACCUCAUAAAUGGUGAACUAAAAACCCUGGAAUAUGGUUUGAAACGUUGACAUUUUAGUCUGAAAAGGAGCAUGUUUCGCUUUCUGGCAGCGUUUAUUUUGAAAUUGCAACACUAAUCAGUGCUUCUCCGCACCUGUGGAGCACGCGCUGAGCAGACCCCGUCGGGUAUGCGCUGCAGAGCACGCGCACCAGAGGAGGGGGCUGACUUGAGCAGAAAGCGCGGAGAGACAAGUCGAAAAGAAAAGACGGAAGAGCGCUGAUGAGGAAAAGCAGAAAGAAAGACUUUAACUGAGCUUGAAAUGAAACAAGAGCUAGCGAAUCUCUGCUGGACAGUACGCUGUCAUAGAACUUCCUGUGGAGGCUGAGGAGUGGGAUCCCCCUGAAGUUUGAGCACACCGCCUGUCUUGGACCAGAGUUACGCUGUCAUAGAACUUCCUGUGGAGGCUGAGGAGUGGGAUCCCCCUGAAGUUGGAGCACACCGCCUUUCUUGGACCAGAGUGGUUGUUCCCCGUUUUAUGAAACUCCAGAUCUCUAUACAAUGUUGUAUUUGCAUAUCCUAACUGGAUGGGAAGGAAAUGAAUUAAAUUAUUAAAUUAUUAUUAAGAAACAAUGCGAGUAAAGACAAAAGUUAUCUUUGAAAGUUUGGGAUUAGGAUUUUAAUCUCUAAAGGAUUUAACAUCAGUACAUCACAUCAGCGCAGCUUUGGUUUUAGUCCAUCAUUAACAAACUUCAUAAGUAAUGAAGUAAUCAAACUCAUAAUUUUAUAUAGCUAACAUAAUGUGGAUGUGUAAAAUGGAUAGCGCUCACUAAGCAGAAAUUAGUUAUGAUGAGUUUAUUUUAACAAGAUUUGCAAGUGUGCAGGGUCUGAGAUGCAGAUUCAGUGUGGCUAUCAAAUAUCUUUACUGAAGAAUUACAUUUGUGGUGUUUGUCUACAUUUAUAAAUCAACACCAACCCAACAGUAAUGUAUGAAUGCAUGUAACUAGGAUGUGAAAUAACAACGUAACUUUUAAGACUUCAUAUAUUCUGAUUUUAUAUUUAAAAAACAUCCUUGCUUAAGGUUGUCGUGAUCACAUGGUGUGAUACAGGAUAUCGACUCUCUGUGCUGAUUUUUUAACACACACACAGGCCUUCACCAAGAAAGAUGAUGCUGGUGUGAAUCUGAUGUUGCACCAGCUGGAUGGGAGUGAGAGACUUCUGAACCUUUCAGCUUUAUGACGGAUGACCACUGAAAUACAAGGUGACUCCUUCUAGUUCCUUUGUAUUCAAAUCCUGACUGAGAUGUAGGCUUCAAACAGAGUAGAGGAACUGACUGCAGAGGCCUGGUAUAGAUAAGGUAAACCUUUAAAAACGACCACAUUCAUAAUCUUGUUCAACAGCUGAAAGGAAAAGUCUAUUAGUUGGUGGAAGUGACCCAAACUGUCUAUUCUUACAUUCUUACAGUAAACAUGUUAGAGACAAAAGGUGUUCCUCAUUACAGGCAGGUUGUCUGGUUUACCCACUGUAGAAGUGCAGAAACUAAACAAUUACUUCAUAAAAGACAUGGAACAACAUUGAAGAGCCCCCUCGACAGGGCAUGACUAUACUAUACUAUACAAAAGGUGAAAGGUCACUCUUUCAAGAAGAUCAAUUUUGGACCAAAAAGAUGGUUUAAAAGAGGAGUGAAAGAGGCCAUCUAUGUCCACUGUGAACAACCAUCUUUGAACAGAGAUGGCAGCUUAUGACACCAACUGUCUGCCAUCUACAAUCCGGUUUUGAGAUCGUUCUCAGGCACGUCUUGCAUCAGAUGACGUCAAUAUGACCUAUGACAUAGUGUGACAGUAGUAAUAGUAGAGAUAAUAGACAGCAGUUUCUGUCACCCAAAACCUCUGGUGGUAAUGACCCAUGCCUUUCUUCAUGUGGGUCAACAGCUAAAUACUUCGUUACUCUACUUAAGUAGAAUUUUCAGGUAUCUGUACUUAACUUGAAUAUUUAUUUUUCUGACAACUUUUUACUUUUACAUUUGUGUGCAGUUUGUCUCACAGUGUGUUGCUAGCUAAAGGAUCAGCUGCUGUAUUUAAAAGGAAGAGAAAAGAAAGUGAGCCAACUUCACUGAGAGUUGGAGCAAGAUAAGAAAGACAGGACAGGACAGGAAGAAGAGAGGUUAAAACAAAGUACACUAACUUUGUGUUAUUUAAAUGUUACAUGAAAAUACUCUGUAGUUUGUGGGAUAAGAGGUUAGCUUGCAGUAUUGUGGUGAAUUUAUUGUAAAGCCCUGCAUUAUACUGAUCCUUAUGGUCAGUGUUGGGUUAUGUCAACUAAGGUAGGCCAAUUUAAAUAAUCUAAUAAAAGGUAGACUAAUAAAAUAGAAUUAUGUAAAAUUCAUAAACAAAUCAAAAAGAUUAACAAGAUGAGCCUACAGACACUCUAUAGUGCUCCUCUUGGCAAAGCAAGUGUGUUUGGCACAACAAAGCUUUCAGACCAUGAUUCUGCUUGCUACAACAGCCAGAAAGGAUAGGUUAAAAAAAACAUUCAGAAAAGAUGAGAAGGGAAAAAUGUCUUUUGGCUCCACCUGUAAAAUUAUUUUCUGUUUUGGGGGCCGUCUAAUUGUUGCCCCUCUAGUGCACCUGUUAAUGUCAUUAACACCAAAGCAGCUGAAACUGAUGAACAACCCCUUCUGUUAACUGAUCAGAUCAAUAUCCCAGAUUUUUAACUGACUUGAUACUAAACUAUGAUUAAUUCAGUUUUAUUUAUAUAGCACCAACAACAGUUGCCGCAAGGCGUUUCAUAUUGUUGGAUAAAGACCCCACAAUGAUAUGAAGAAAACAGAGAACUCCAACAAUCAUAUGAAGCAUAACUAAGGGAGGAUUCAGGGUCACCUGAUCCAGCCCUAACUAUACGAUUUAGCAAAUAGGAAGGUUUUAAAUCUAUUCUCAAAAGUAGAGAUAGUGUCUGUCUCCCAAAUCCAAACUGGAAGCUGCUUCCAUAGAAGAGGUUCCUGAAAACUGAAGGCUCUGCCUCCCAUUCUACUUCUAAAUACUCCACAAGUAAGCCCACAGUCUGAGAGCAAAAUGUACUAAUGGGUUGAUAGUAUAAGGUUUAGAUGGGGUCUGAUUAUUCAAGACCUUGUAUGUGAGGAACAGAACUUUAAAUUCAGUUCCAAUAUAGGAGAAAUAUGCUCUCUCUUUCUAGUCCCUCUCAGUACUCUUGCUGCUGCAUUUUGGAUUAACUUAAAGCUUUUCAGGGAGGUUUUGGCCAUCCUGAUAAUAACACCCUGAUAAAAACGGAUUAAAGUAGUUCAGCUUAGAAGUAAUAAAUACAUGAACUACUUUUUCAGCAUCACUCAAAGACAGAAUUUUUCUAACUUUAGAGAUGUUGCGCAAA
Molecule: long non-coding RNA, 3994 nt
Organism: Oreochromis aureus
Lineage: Eukaryota; Metazoa; Chordata; Actinopteri; Cichliformes; Cichlidae
Exons: 3
Source: RefSeq, a predicted model, not a curated record